UUGAACGCUGGCGGCAUGCCUUACCCCUGCAAGUCGAACGGCAGCGCGGGUGCUUGCACCUGGUGGCGAGUGGCGAACGGGUGAGUAAUACAUCGGAACAUGUCCUGUAGUGGGGGAUAGCCCGGCGAAAGCCGGAUUAAUACCGCAUACGAUCUACGGAUGAAAGCGGGGGACCUUCGGGCCUCGCGCUAUAGGGUUGGCCGAUGGCUGAUUAGCUAGUUGGUGGGGUAAAGGCCUACCAAGGCGACGAUCAGUAGCUGGUCUGAGAGGACGACCAGCCACACUGGGACUGAGACACGGCCCAGACUCCUACGGGAGGCAGCAGUGGGGAAUUUUGGACAAUGGGCGAAAGCCUGAUCCAGCAAUGCCGCGUGUGUGAAGAAGGCCUUCGGGUUGUAAAGCACUUUUGUUCGGAAAGAAAUCCUUGGGCCUAAUACGGGCGGGGGAUGACGGUACCGGAAGAAUAAGCACCGGCUAACUACGUG
This 485-nucleotide ribosomal RNA is filed under the name uncultured bacterium. RNAcentral's name for it is "partial 16S ribosomal RNA". It matches the Rfam family "Bacterial small subunit ribosomal RNA", at positions 30 to 507 of the family's 1533-position model. The record is from RNAcentral.